This 1950-nucleotide ribosomal RNA is filed under the name human gut metagenome. Its description in RNAcentral is "bacterial LSU rRNA". It matches the Rfam family "Bacterial large subunit ribosomal RNA", at positions 1 to 1977 of the family's 2925-position model. The record is from RNAcentral.
UUAAGCGACUAAGCGUACACGGUGGAUGCCCUGGCAGUCAGAGGCGAUGAAGGACGUGCUAAUCUGCGAUAAGCGUCGGUAAGGUGAUAUGAACCGUUAUAACCGGCGAUUUCCGAAUGGGGAAACCCAGUGUGAUUCGUCACACUAUCAUUAACUGAAUCCAUAGGUUAAUGAGGCGAACCGGGGGAACUGAAACAUCUAAGUACCCCGAGGAAAAGAAAUCAACCGAGAUUCCCCCAGUAGCGGCGAGCGAACGGGGAGCAGCCCAGAGCCUGAAUCAGUGUGUGUGUUAGUGGAAGCGUCUGGAAAGGCGCGCGAUACAGGGUGACAGCCCCGUACACAAAAAUGCACAUACUGUGAGCUCGAUGAGUAGGGCGGGACACGUGGUAUCCUGUCUGAAUAUGGGGGGACCAUCCUCCAAGGCUAAAUACUCCUGACUGACCGAUAGUGAACCAGUACCGUGAGGGAAAGGCGAAAAGAACCCCGGCGAGGGGAGUGAAAAAGAACCUGAAACCGUGUACGUACAAGCAGUGGGAGCACGCUUCGGCGUGUGACUGCGUACCUUUUGUAUAAUGGGUCAGCGACUUAUAUUCUGUAGCAAGGUUAACCGAAUAGGGGAGCCGAAGGGAAACCGAGUCUUAACUGGGCGUUAAGUUGCAGGGUAUAGACCCGAAACCCGGUGAUCUAGCCAUGGGCAGGUUGAAGGUUGGGUAACACUAACUGGAGGACCGAACCGACUAAUGUUGAAAAAUUAGCGGAUGACUUGUGGCUGGGGGUGAAAGGCCAAUCAAACCGGGAGAUAGCUGGUUCUCCCCGAAAGCUAUUUAGGUAGCGCCUCGUGAAUUCAUCUCCGGGGGUAGAGCACUGUUUCGGCAAGGGGGUCAUCCCGACUUACCAACCCGAUGCAAACUGCGAAUACCGGAGAAUGUUAUCACGGGAGACACACGGCGGGUGCUAACGUCCGUCGUGAAGAGGGAAACAACCCAGACCGCCAGCUAAGGUCCCAAAGUCAUGGUUAAGUGGGAAACGAUGUGGGAAGGCCCAGACAGCCAGGAUGUUGGCUUAGAAGCAGCCAUCAUUUAAAGAAAGCGUAAUAGCUCACUGGUCGAGUCGGCCUGCGCGGAAGAUGUAACGGGGCUAAACCAUGCACCGAAGCUGCGGCAGCGACACUAUGUGUUGUUGGGUAGGGGAGCGUUCUGUAAGCCUGUGAAGGUGUACUGUGAGGUAUGCUGGAGGUAUCAGAAGUGCGAAUGCUGACAUAAGUAACGAUAAAGCGGGUGAAAAGCCCGCUCGCCGGAAGACCAAGGGUUCCUGUCCAACGUUAAUCGGGGCAGGGUGAGUCGACCCCUAAGGCGAGGCCGAAAGGCGUAGUCGAUGGGAAACAGGUUAAUAUUCCUGUACUUGGUGUUACUGCGAAGGGGGGACGGAGAAGGCUAUGUUGGCCGGGCGACGGUUGUCCCGGUUUAAGCGUGUAGGCUGGUUUUCCAGGCAAAUCCGGAAAAUCAAGGCUGAGGCGUGAUGACGAGGCACUACGGUGCUGAAGCAACAAAUGCCCUGCUUCCAGGAAAAGCCUCUAAGCAUCAGGUAACAUCAAAUCGUACCCCAAACCGACACAGGUGGUCAGGUAGAGAAUACCAAGGCGCUUGAGAGAACUCGGGUGAAGGAACUAGGCAAAAUGGUGCCGUAACUUCGGGAGAAGGCACGCUGAUAUGUAGGUGAAGCGACUUGCUCGUGGAGCUGAAAUCAGUCGAAGAUACCAGCUGGCUGCAACUGUUUAUUAAAAACACAGCACUGUGCAAACACGAAAGUGGACGUAUACGGUGUGACGCCUGCCCGGUGCCGGAAGGUUAAUUGAUGGGGUUAGCGGUAACGCGAAGCUCUUGAUCGAAGCCCCGGUAAACGGCGGCCGUAACUAUAACGGUCCUAAGGUAGCGAAAUUCCUUGUCGGGU